Molecule: ribosomal RNA, 301 nt
Filed under: uncultured bacterium
Lineage: Bacteria
Description: partial 16S ribosomal RNA
Rfam family: Bacterial small subunit ribosomal RNA
Source: RNAcentral
CAGUAGCCGCGGUAAUACGAAGGGGGCUAGCGUUGUUCGGAUUUACUGGGCGUAAAGGGCGCGUAGGCGGACUGAUAAGUCAGGGGUGAAAUCCCAAGGCUCAACCUUGGAGCUGCCUUUGAUACUGUCUGUCUUGAGUUCGAGAGAGGUAAGUGGAACUGCGAGUGUAGAGGUGAAAUUCGUAGAUAUUCGCAAGAACACCAGUGGCGAAGGCGGCUUACUGGCUCGAAACUGACGCUGAGGCGCGAAAGCGUGGGGAGCAAACAGGAUUAGAUACCCCUGUAGUCCCUGUCUCUUAUAC